AAAAGUUUUGUCCUGGCUUUACAAUCAACUUCAACCUAUAUUACACAUGCAAGCAUCCACUAACCAGUGAGAAAGCCAAUUAUACUUUGAGCUGGUAUCAGGCACAACAAAAGUUAGCCAAUAACACCUAGCUCAGCCACACCCCCAAGGGUUAACAGCAGUGAUAAACAUUAGCAAAUGAGCACAAGCUCGAACUAAGCACGGACAAUAAGGGUUGGCCAAUCUCGUGCCAGCCGCCGCGGUUAUACGAGAAACCCAAGUUGACAACCAACGGCGUAAAGCGUGAUAAAGAAUAAGUCCACAACAUAAGACUGAAACCCAACUAAACUGUCAUACGUACCAGUAGGCGAUAAACCCAAUUAUACAAAGGUAGUCUUAACUAAAAGACCUCUCAUCAUCACAACCGCUAAGAAACAAACUGGGAUUAGAUACCCCACUAUGCCUAGCCAUAAACUGAAUAAACUAUACAACUAUUUUCCGCCAGAACACUACGAGUUAACACUUAAAAAUCAAAGGACUUGGCGGUGCCCAAAAUCCACCCAGAGGAGCCUGUUCUAUAAUCGAUAAUCCACGCUAAACCUCACCACUCUUUGCUAAAACAGCCUAUAUACCACCGUCUGCAGCUCACCCCUUGAGGGGACACAAGUGAGCAAAAUUGAACCCACUAAAAACGUCAGGUCAAGGUGUAGCAUAUAGAGCGGAAAGAAAUGGGCUACAUUUUCUUACCAAGAACAAACGAAAAAGCAAAUGAAAAAUUCUUAGAAGGCGGAUUUGGCAGUAAAAAGAAACAAUCAUAUUCUUUUUAACACAGCCCUUGGGCGCGCACACACCGCCCGUCACCCUCAUCAACUUAACCACAUCAACUUAAUUAAACUAAAUAUACACCUUAACAGAAGAGGAAAGUCGUAACAUGGUAAGCGUACUGGAAAGUGCUCUUGGAAU
RNAcentral lists this non-coding RNA (942 nucleotides) under Ichthyophiidae sp. BORN9227. RNAcentral describes it as "12S rRNA". It matches the Rfam family "Bacterial small subunit ribosomal RNA". Lineage: Eukaryota; Metazoa; Chordata; Amphibia; Gymnophiona; Ichthyophiidae. The record is from RNAcentral. RNAcentral also lists the same sequence under 1 other name.